Oncorhynchus tshawytscha (Chinook salmon) is the source of this 461-nucleotide long non-coding RNA. The record is from Ensembl. NCBI's taxonomy places the organism in Eukaryota, Metazoa, Chordata, Actinopteri, Salmoniformes, Salmonidae.
UCUGGUAGUGUGAGGGGAGACAAUGGGGGCUUUGACAGAUGGGCUGUGACGUCUCCUGGUAGUGUGAGGGGAGACAAUGGGGGCUGUGACAGAUGGGCUGUGAAGUCUUCUGGCAGUGUGAGGGGAGACAAUGGGGGCUGUGACGUCUACUGGUAGUGUGAGGGGAGACAAUGGGGGCUGUGACGUCUCCUGGCAGUGUGAGGGGAGACAAUGGGGGCUGUGACGUCUCCUGGCAGUGUGAGGGGAGACAAUGGGGGCUGUGACGUCUCCUGGUAGUGUGAGGGGAGACAAUGGGGGCUGUGGCGUCUCCUGGCAGUGUGAGGGGAGACAAUCGGGGCUGUGACAUCUCCUGGUAGUGUGAGGGGAGACAAUGGGGGCUGUGCCAUCUCCUGGCAGUGUGAGGGGAGACAAUGGGGGCUGUGCCGUCUCCUGGUAGUGUGAGGGGAGAGAAUGGGGGCUGU